CUACGGGUUGCUGCAGUGGGGAAUUUUGCGCAAUGGGCGAAAGCCUGACGCAGCAAUACCGCGUGAGUGAAGAAGGCCUUUGGGUCGUAAAGCUCUUUUCUGAAGGAAGAUAGUGACGGUACUUCAGGAAUAAGCACCGGCUACUCCGUGCCAGCAGCCGCGGUGAUACGGAGGGUGCAAGCGUUGUUCGGAUUUACUGGGCGUAAAGGGCGCGUAGGCGGCAUAGCAAGUUAAGGGUGAAAUCCCGGGGCUUAACUCCGGAACUGCUCUUAAAACUGCUAAGCUAGAGAUAGUCAGAGGCGGGUGGAAUUCCUAGUGUAGAGGUGAAAUUCGUAGAUAUUAGGAGGAACACCGGUGGCGAAGGCGGCCCGCUGGGGCUUAUCUGACGCUAAGGCGCGAAAGCGUGGGGAGCAAACGGGAUUAGAUACCCCUGUAGUC
This 438-nucleotide ribosomal RNA is filed under the name uncultured bacterium. RNAcentral's name for it is "partial 16S ribosomal RNA". It matches the Rfam family "Bacterial small subunit ribosomal RNA", at positions 339 to 795 of the family's 1533-position model. The record is from RNAcentral.